GUAGAUUUAGGUUAAUUUAAAACUUUUAGUUUUCAAAACUAAAGAUUAUGUUCUAUU
This 57-nucleotide transfer RNA is filed under the name Wuchereria bancrofti. RNAcentral's name for it is "tRNA-Trp". Lineage: Eukaryota; Metazoa; Nematoda; Chromadorea; Rhabditida; Onchocercidae. The record is from RNAcentral.